This 450-nucleotide ribosomal RNA is filed under the name uncultured bacterium. RNAcentral's name for it is "partial 16S ribosomal RNA". It matches the Rfam family "Bacterial small subunit ribosomal RNA", at positions 338 to 795 of the family's 1533-position model. The record is from RNAcentral.
CCUACGGGUGGCUGCAGUAAGGAAUAUUGGUCAAUGGACGAAAGUCUGAACCAGCCAUCCCGCGUGCAGGAUGAAAGCCCUAUGGGUUGUAAACUGCUUUUAGCAGAGAAGAAAAGCUUUCAUUAAUGAGAGUCUGACGGUAUCUGCAGAAUAAGCACCGGCUAACUCUGUGCCAGCAGCCGCGGUAAUACGGAGGGUGCGAGCGUUACUCGGUAUAACGGGGGUGUAGGGGGACUAUUGAGGAGGUGGUGAAAUCUUGUCGCUUAACGAUACAAUUGCCAAUGAUACUGGUACUCUUGAAUUGGGUUGAGGUUAGCGGAAUGUGACAUGUAGCGGUGAAAUGCAUAGAUAUGUCAUGGAACACCAAUUGCGAAGGCAGCUAACUGGGCCUUGAUUGACGCUGAGGCACGAAAGCGUGGGUAGCGAACAGGAUUAGAUACCCCUGUAGUC